Molecule: unclassified non-coding RNA, 1838 nt
Filed under: Eurytemora carolleeae
Lineage: Eukaryota; Metazoa; Arthropoda; Copepoda; Calanoida; Temoridae
Description: zinc finger protein 142-like
Source: RNAcentral
GUCUUAACAAACAAGUAAUUUAAUUAAGAAUAUUUCAGAUUAAGAAUGUCGAGAUGUUACAAGACAACGAUAACGGAUCUUCAGGGUUUACAAGCUGUAACUGAUGAUAAACGAGUAUUAAAACAAAUAUUGAUUGAUGUUCUCAACCUGAGGACUGGAAUGGAAGAUAACCUACUUCUAAUACAGAAUGUCUAUCACACUGUAAAAAAUAUCAAGUCCGUGAGCACAGAUUUGAUGAAUGCAAUAUCCGUAGUUCAGCAACAUAUUGAUUCUAUGAAUAGAGUGUGUACACUGGGAGUAUCCUGGCUCAAAUAUGAUGUGGAUUUUUCUCUUAAUUACAUCACAGACGCUCAAAAUGAAAGAGACGACCCGAAACCGAAAGAGAAUCCUGAAUGUGAGAUUAAGAUUGAAAUACCAGAUUGGAAGAACGCAGUUAUCAUUGAUCACAAAAAUGAUAUGAAUAUCACAGGCUGCGUGGAAAACUCGGAAACCGAACAUGUAGACUCACUAGUUGUCAACAUCAUGGAAACUCAAGUUUAUCCAGCCACCGACGAUGUAAAACGAGUAGAUGUAAAGGAAGCUGUCUGUGUAGAACCUGGAGUUAAAAACUGCGUUAAAUCUAUAGACAAACUGAUUCCCAAAAUGAAAACGAGUAAACGCGUAAAAAAAGAAAUGGUAUUAAAACAGGAAACUCAGAGUUCUGAAUCAAAUGAAGGAUCUGAUAAAAAUGACGUUUUUAGAUUUCCAUGCAAUUUGUGUGAUUAUAGAACAAAUCGUAAGAACACCUUAAAGAGGCAUACAUCAAGUGUUCAUUUAAAAAUUCGAUAUAAUUGUGAUGAAUGCAACAAAACCUUUUCCCAACCCAAGAGUUUAGAAAGACACAAACUGAAUAUUCACCAGGGAGAAAGGGUGUAUUGUGAAGAAUGUAGCUUUUCUACUCCCCGGGUGGAACUAUUGAAGCUUCACCAAAACAGUGUUCAUAAAGAUAUCAAGUUUGUUUGUACUUCAUGUGAUUUUAUCGGACUUACAGAACGCCAGUUUAUUAUACACAAGGUGUUGAGGCACAACGAGACGGAUAUAGCUGAAAAUCAGACUAGUUUCCCCUGUGAUAAAUGUGAUUAUGUGGCGGGUUCAAUAUCGUAUCUAAAGAUACACGUGAGAAAGCACAACAAUGGUGACGAUGAAUCUUUAAUAUGUGAUCAGUGUGAAUACGUGGCUCCUAGAAAGUUAAACUUGAAAUUGCACAUGGAGAACAAGCAUAGCAGUGUUUUGUACACUUGUGAUCAAUGUGAAUACAAAUGUUACAGUAAAGUAACAUUUAAGCUGCAUAAAAAAAAGCACGAAGGUAGAUUUUUAUGCGAUCAAUGCCCCUUCAUUGGAACAUUAAAGUCUCACUUAAAAAACCAUAUGAAAAUUAAACAUGACGGAUUUAGAGUUCCUUGUGAUUCUUGCAAGUUUAUGGCUCAAACUCAGCAGCAUUUAAAAAGACAUAAAGAAGCUGUUCACAUUGGGGUUAAAUACCCCUGUGAUCUUUGCUCAUUUUCAUUUUCAAACAAAUCAAAUCUAAAAGAGCACAAAGCCUGCAAGCAUGAUGAUACUAAACAUCCUUGUGAAGAGUGUGAUUAUUUGGCCUCGUCGCAAAUAGCUCUGAGAAAGCACAUGAAAACUAAGCACCCCUGUGCAACACAACUGCAGUAAGUUUUAUAUGUCUUGAGCGCUCGGUUUUAAUUUAAAGGGACUGUAAAGGAAAACUGAAAGGGGCCCCUUUAAGUGCCACGAAUGACUUCCCCGAAAAACUUGUUAGCAUGAAAUUUAAUGAAUCUUGUACAAGACUUUUA